This 406-nucleotide ribosomal RNA is filed under the name uncultured bacterium. RNAcentral's name for it is "bacterial SSU rRNA". It matches the Rfam family "Bacterial small subunit ribosomal RNA", at positions 355 to 776 of the family's 1533-position model. The record is from RNAcentral.
CAAGGAAUCUUCCGCAAUGGGCGAAAGCCUGACGGAGCAACGCCGCGUGUGGGAUGACGCCUUUCGGGGUGUAAACCACUUUUCUCAGGGAAGAAGCACUGACGGUACCUGAGGAAUAAGGACCGGCUAACUACGUGCCAGCAGCCGCGGUAAUACGUAGGGUCCGAGCGUUGUCCGGAGUUACUGGGCGUAAAGCGCGCGCAGGCGGCGGUGUAAGCAUGGCGUGAAAGCCCCAGGCUCAACCUGGGAGGGUCGUCGUGGACUGCACCGCUUGAGGGCGAUAGGGGCUGGUGGAAUGCCUGGUGUAGUGGUGAAAUGCGUAGAGAUCAGGCGGAACACCCGUGGCGAAGGCGGCCAGCUGGGUCGUCCCUGACGCUGAGGCGCGAAGGCGUGGGGAGCGAACGGG